UAGAGUUCUAAAUAUGUGUUUUAAGUUUAUAGUAGAUUUUAAAAUUCAAAUUUAAGAAUUCUAAAUGGCUAUAAAAGUUCAUGUAGUUAAUGCCAAAGUUAUAGUGGUCAACCUGGUCUACAUAUUUAAUUUUGAUAAGUUUUUUACUUGAAGUUUUUUCGUGUCAAAUGUUUGUUUUAAACUCACAUAUUUUGAUAUUCAAUUUUUUUAUUUUUUUCAAAUAACCUCGAAUGGAGACAUAUCAUGUACUAAAGUUAUAGUCCUUGACAAGAUUUAAAUUUUUGUAGUUGAAGCUUUUGUUUCAUUUCAGUUCAUUUAGUAGCCAAGAUAUUAAAUACAAGAUCACAAAAUGUCUCUAAAAACUACUACGCAAACAUAAGGGAGGCGGGCAUUGCAACCGCUUCCAAUCAAAAGUCAUUGUUAAUGCUAGAUUAAUGGAGGCAGUUGUUUUGUCCGUCUCCAAAAUAAAAGUAAAAAAAAAGAAAAUUCCUGCAGCCUGAACCGGACGUGGGCUAGGAUCUUGGUUGCACGUCGCCGACUCGCCGUCACCAGCGGAUCCACCCAUGUCGAGGCCAGAUCCAUCGCUGUCGGAACCGCCCGUGCUAGGGCUAGAUCCAUCCGCGUUGUGUCAGAUACGCCAUGGUGGAGUCUGUCAUCGGUAGAUCCGCCCACAUUGGGGCCGAACCUGCCACGGUGGAGCCCGUCGCCGCCAGAUCCACCGUGGUGGAAAUUGCCACCACCAUAUCCCCC
This 750-nucleotide long non-coding RNA is filed under the name Sorghum bicolor (sorghum). Its description in RNAcentral is "long non-coding RNA (SBIC_LNC011508)". The record is from RNAcentral. Lineage: Eukaryota; Viridiplantae; Streptophyta; Magnoliopsida; Poales; Poaceae.